Long non-coding RNA from Cebus imitator (Panamanian white-faced capuchin), 760 nucleotides. RefSeq lists it as uncharacterized. The transcript has 3 exons. The record is from RefSeq and is a predicted model, not a curated record. Lineage: Eukaryota; Metazoa; Chordata; Mammalia; Primates; Cebidae.
UGGGAGGCUUGGCCAGUCUCUUUUCACAUUUUUCUGCGUGCUUAUAUUCUAGCCCCACUGGCAGCUGAUUAGGUUGUACCUCUCUAGAUUAAGAGUGGGUCUGUCUUUCCAAGCCCACGGACUUAAAUGUUAAUCUCCUUUGGCAACAUCCUCACAGACACACUGAGGAUCAAUACUUUGCAUCGUUCAGUACAAUCAAGUUGAUACUUAGUAUUAACCACCUAUGCAAGCUAUUAAAGGAAAUGAUCUGAUUUGAUGAGCGGAAGACCAUGUUACUUGAUCUGGUUCAGCUUAGAUACUUCAUGUUAAAAUCUGAGAACUCUCCUUGAGAUCAGAGAUCUGUCUUCUGUGCCAGAAGCCACUGCUAAAGUUCUGACCUAAGUGAGUUUUCAAGAUAUUUUCUGAUUGCUUUCACUUUUCUCUUUCCUUGAAUAUCUGUUGCAAAGAAGUGCAAACAGGUCCUCUUACUGGACAGGGAGGAAGUAUUUGGAGGUGGGUUUUGAUGGAGGCUUUGAAGGGUAGGAGAUAAGAUGGCUGGGGCUAUGUUUAAAAAAAUUCUUCAAAGUUGGGGUAAUUGAGGAUGAUAGGAAGUCAAGGGAAGAGAAGUGAGGUAUGGGAAAAGUCAAGAGGGAACAGGAGGGUGGAGUUAGUGGAGGGAUGUAGAUGUAUUUUAGCCUAUAAACAGCACGUGCUGCAAGGGAUUGAAGGACAAGGUUGAAUCAUCCUAAGGAAAAUUUCUCUAGCAGGACUCAGAAGAAGA